AUACGUAGGGUGCAAGCGUUGUCCGGAAUUAUUGGGCGUAAAGAGCUCGUAGGCGGUUUGUCGCGUCUGCUGUGAAAUCCCGAGGCUCAACCUCGGGUCUGCAGUGGGUACGGGCAGACUAGAGUGUGGUAGGGGAGAUUGGAAUUCCUGGUGUAGCGGUGGAAUGCGCAGAUAUCAGGAGGAACACCGAUGGCGAAGGCAGAUCUCUGGGCCAUUACUGACGCUGAGGAGCGAAAGCAUGGGGAGCGAACAGGAUUAGAUACCCUGGUAGUCCAUGCCGUAGACGUUGGGCGCUAGAUGUGGGGAGCAUUCCACGGUUUCCGUGUCGUAGCUAACGCAUUAAGCGCCCCGCCUGGGGAGUACGGCCGCAAGGCUAAA
Molecule: ribosomal RNA, 378 nt
Filed under: uncultured bacterium
Lineage: Bacteria
Description: bacterial SSU rRNA
Rfam family: Bacterial small subunit ribosomal RNA
Source: RNAcentral